Molecule: small RNA, 30 nt
Filed under: Bombyx mori (domestic silkworm)
Lineage: Eukaryota; Metazoa; Arthropoda; Insecta; Lepidoptera; Bombycidae
Description: piRNA piR-bmo-2116988
Source: RNAcentral
UCAUCCUACUGUCGAGGGUGACGCCUAAAU